CCUGAGAAACCCAAAAGAUCGAAUGGGGAGAUUCAUCGUCAGCGCAUUUGGUAUAUAUACAAGUUACGAUGUGGGUUACUCUUGAGUAUUGCCUGCACGUUCUUAUAUAUUUAAUUGCUAGAUGUUGUCGGCGUGCACUUCUCCCCUAGUAGGACGUCGUGACCCGUUGGGUGUCGGUCUACGGCCCGAGUGGGAGCCUUUAAUGCUUUAAAAACAUUAAAGACCCUCGGUGUUUCCUGACCGGCUGCCCGGCGGUAUUCGUAUGGUAUUAAGCCGCAAUUUAUUUGCGUCCACACCCGUCGCAAGCGCGGCCAGUUUUUGAUAGUACGGACCUAGUGCCGUCGUUGGGCCUGGCCAGCUGUUAGCUGUUGCGGUGUUCUGGGACUGGCUAAAAAUAAUUACCGGUCGGCGACGCUACUGCUUUGGGUACUUUCAGGACCCGUCUUGAAACACGGACCAAGGAGUCUAACAUGUGCGCGAGUCAUUGGGAUUUUUUUUAAAUUAAACCUAAAGGCGCAAUGAAAGUAAAGGUCGUCCUUGUGAUGAUUGAGGGAGGAUGGGCUGUGUUAAGAUACAGCUCCGCACUCCCGGGGCGUCUCAUUSUCAUUAUGAGNNNNNGCGCACCUAG
Molecule: ribosomal RNA, 628 nt
Filed under: Histeromerus mystacinus
Lineage: Eukaryota; Metazoa; Arthropoda; Insecta; Hymenoptera; Braconidae
Description: eukaryotic LSU rRNA
Rfam family: Eukaryotic large subunit ribosomal RNA
Source: RNAcentral